UACGUAGGUGACAAGCGUUGUCCGGAUUUACUGGGCGUAAAGAGCGCGCAGGCGGUCGUUCAAGUCGAGUGUGAAAGCCCCCGGCUCAACUGGGGAGGGUCAUUCGAUACUGAUCGACUCGAAGGCAGGAGAGGGUAGUGGAAUUCCCGGUGUAGUGGUGAAAUGCGUAGAUAUCGGGAGGAACACCAGUGGCGAAGACGACUACCUGGCCUGUUCUUGACGCUGAGGCGCGAAAGCUAGGGGAGCAAACGGG
This 253-nucleotide ribosomal RNA is filed under the name uncultured bacterium. Its description in RNAcentral is "partial 16S ribosomal RNA". It matches the Rfam family "Bacterial small subunit ribosomal RNA", at positions 524 to 776 of the family's 1533-position model. The record is from RNAcentral.